GAACGCUGGCGGCAGGCUUAACACAUGCAAGUCGAGCGGGGAAAGGUAGCUUGCUACCUGACCUAGCGGCGGACGGGUGAGUAAUGCUUAGGAAUCUGCCUAUUAGUGGGGGACAACAUUCCGAAAGGAAUGCUAAUACCGCAUACGCCCUACGGGGGAAAGCAGGGGAUCUUCGGACCUUGCGCUAAUAGAUGAGCCUAAGUCAGAUUAGCUAGUUGGUGGGGUAAAGGCCUACUAAGGCGACGAUCUGUAGCGGGUCUGAGAGGAUGAUCCGCCACACUGGGACUGAGACACGGCCCAGACUCCUACGAGAGGCAGCAGUGGGGAAUAUUGGACAAUGGGCGAAAGCCUGAUCCAGCCAUGCCGCGUGUGUGAAGAAGGCCUUUUGGUUGUAAAGCACUUUAAGCGAGGAGGAGGCUACUUAGAUUAAUACUCUAAGAUAGUGGACGUUACUCGCAGAAUAAGCACCGGCUAACUCUGUGCCAGCAGCCGCGGUAAUACAGAGGGUGCGAGCGUUAAUCGGAUUUACUGGGCGUAAAGCGUGCGUAGGCGGCUUUUUAAGUCGGAUGUGAAAUCCCUGAGCUUAACUUAGGAAUUGCAUUCGAUACUGGGAAGCUAGAGUAUGGGAGAGGAUGGUAGAAUUCCAGGUGUAGCGGUGAAAUGCGUAGAGAUCUGGAGGAAUACCGAUGGCGAAGGCAGCCAUCUGGCCUAAUACUGACGCUGAGGUACGAAAGCAUGGGGAGCAAACAGGAUUAGAUACCCUGGUAGUCCAUGCCGUAAACGAUGUCUACUAGCCGUUGGGGCCUUUGAGGCUUUAGUGGCGCAGCUAACGCGAUAAGUAGACCGCCUGGGGAGUACGGUCGCAAGACUAAAACUCAAAUGAAUUGACGGGGGCCCGCACAAGCGGUGGAGCAUGUGGUUUAAUUCGAUGCAACGCGAAGAACCUUACCUGGUCUUGACAUAGUAAGAACUUUCCAGAGAUGGAUUGGUGCCUUCGGGAACUUACAUACAGGUGCUGCAUGGCUGUCGUCAGCUCGUGUCGUGAGAUGUUGGGUUAAGUCCCGCAACGAGCGCAACCCUUUUCCUUAUUUGCCAGCGGGUUAAGCCGGGAACUUUAAGGAUACUGCCAGUGACAAACUGGAGGAAGGCGGGGACGACGUCAAGUCAUCAUGGCCCUUACGACCAGGGCUACACACGUGCUACAAUGGUCGGUACAAAGGGUUGCUACCUAGCGAUAGGAUGCUAAUCUCAAAAAGCCGAUCGUAGUCCGGAUUGGAGUCUGCAACUCGACUCCAUGAAGUCGGAAUCGCUAGUAAUCGCGGAUCAGAAUGCCGCGGUGAAUACGUUCCCGGGCCUUGUACACACCGCCCGUCACACCAUGGGAAUUUGUUGCACCAGAAGUAGGUAGUCUAACCGCAAGGAGGACGCUUACCACGGUGUGGCCGAUGACUGGGGU
RNAcentral lists this ribosomal RNA (1456 nucleotides) under uncultured organism. RNAcentral describes it as "SSU rRNA". It matches the Rfam family "Bacterial small subunit ribosomal RNA". The record is from RNAcentral.